CAAAAUGGGAGGUAAAUUUCUCCUAAGGCUAAAUAUUGGCGAGAGACCGAUAGCGAACAAGUACCGUGAGGGAAAGAUGAAAAGAACUUUGAAAAGAGAGUUAAACAGUACGUGAAAUUGUUGAAAGGGAAACGAUUGAAGUCAGUCAUACCAACGGGAAAUCAACCUUUUGAGCUCGGUCUCGUGGGUUUUGAAGAGUUUCAAAGCCUUCGGAUUCGCGGGAUUGGGAUCUCUUGGCGUACUUUUUCGUACGGUUAGUCAACAUCGGUUUUGAAUGUCAUAAAAUGACUGGAGGAAUGUAGCUUCGAUCUCGUAUUGAAGUGUUAUAGCCUUUGGUAGAUGUGAUGUUUGAGACCGAGGAUUGCAACGGAUACCCUUCAGGGCUAUUCGUCUGAUCUCUGAUACGUUGCCUUGAUGUUGAAAGCUUGCUUAUGAUGUUAGGGUAUUACGGUCAAAAGGUUAGAACGAAUUACA
RNAcentral lists this ribosomal RNA (474 nucleotides) under Funneliformis mosseae. Its description in RNAcentral is "eukaryotic LSU rRNA". It matches the Rfam family "Eukaryotic large subunit ribosomal RNA", at positions 288 to 628 of the family's 3401-position model. The record is from RNAcentral. Lineage: Eukaryota; Fungi; Glomeromycota; Glomeromycetes; Glomerales; Glomeraceae.